This 2453-nucleotide long non-coding RNA is filed under the name Salvia miltiorrhiza (redroot sage). RNAcentral describes it as "long non-coding RNA (SMIL_LNC006476)". Lineage: Eukaryota; Viridiplantae; Streptophyta; Magnoliopsida; Lamiales; Lamiaceae. The record is from RNAcentral.
AUAUAAAAACACAAAAACAAUGCACCAAAAUACACACCCACUUUCCCGCCAAAUUGCAUUUCAGCCAAUAUUAUUUUUUGUCUUAUUUGCACGUGCUUUGUGCUGCAAAAUUGUGGCUGCAAUAAAUGACUCAAUAAAUUUUUUUACUGUUCAACAUAUCUUUUUCAGAUUAUUUUUGUACGAUUCCUGACAUAUCUAAUACUAUACAUAUAAUUAUUGUGGGGCUCAAUGACAACAAUUAAUGCAGAGCUCAUUAAUACAAAACUUAGCCACCAAGAUACAUUCUUUAUAUAUCUCUCACCAGCCAUUUUUCUUCUGCAUCUUCUUUUCUCCCUCACCGGCCACUUUUCUUUCGGCACUAUCUUUGCUUCACCUUGCUUUCUUGCUUCUCUUUCUUUUUCCAUUUUUCUUUCGGCACUUUCUUGCUUCAAUGUCAGCACUCUUUCUAUUUUGCUUCUCUUUCUUAUCUUUCUGUUCUUGCUUCUCUUUCUUUCCUCUUUUUUCUUUGUCAGCUUCUUGCACCUUCUUUUCUAUAUUUUAAUGAGCAGCAGCUUCUUUUUCUAUCUGUAAUGUCGGCAUAUUCUUGCUCUUUUCUGUAAGCUUCUUGCUUCCAAUUUUUAUAUUUUUUUUAUUUCUACAUAAACUUUUCAUUUCUACUCUAAGCUUCUUUCUCACAACUUCUUACAUCAUUUUCUUUAUUUUCUUUCUUUUUUAUAUUUUAGCUUUUUUUGUUUCUAUUUUAUAUGUUUCUUUCUAUUUUACAUAUUCGUUCUUUUCUUCCUUAUAUCUUCAGUUUAAUUUUCCAUCCUAUUUUAGGUGUUUAUUUCUGAUUAACUACAACUUUAGAUUCUUUCUUUCUUUAUUUUUUUUAUAUCUUCAACUAUCUUUUCUUCCUAUUUUUAUGUGUUUAUUUCAGUUUUACAUCUUUAGAUUUUUUCCCCCUAUUUUCUGCACUGCUAAACAAAAAUAGAGCAAAACAUUACUAUAAUCCCAUAUACAACAAACAGGUUUAUGAUAAUGACGAAAGUGCAAAACACGUUUGAAAUAUGAAUAAACAUGCAAAAGAAACAACAGGUUAUCUGAAUAUGAAAUUUCGAAGAGUUUACAUGAUAUAUGCUAAAUAAGGUUUAAGUAACUUACUCAGUAAAACAAAGGCAGAUUUCGGAGGUAGCAAAAAAGUUUGUUCUUAUUCUUAAUCAAAAAUAAUUUCAAAGAGGCAGCAAAUAUUUCAAAUGGAUUUGUGUUAGCAACAAGUAAUGAUUUUUAGUUCUUCAUAUGUGCUGCCUCUUUGAUUUUUUUUGAAACAGCAAAGUACACAAAAUUCCUGCAUUUUCUAUGAAACACGAAAAGCAAGAGCAAAUAGAUCUACAGAGAUCUAAAAAACGACAAGUAACAGUUUCAUGUGUAGAUAUUCAGAGAUCUACGAAAAUGAAAAUCUGAAAAACAAUAAACUAAUAAUGCGAAAAAAAAAAUAAAGAUGUCUGUAUAGGAAAAAAAAAGAAAAGUGAAGCAAUAUCAUCAAAAAUACCUAAUCGUCUCAAAUAAAUUUGUGCCUUGGGUUUUUAAAGAACAAAAUGAACAAAAACAUUGGAGCAUAUGCAGACGAAAAUUUGUUGCUAUUGUUUAAAUGAACAAAAACGAUACUUCAGCAAGAAAAAUUAAACAUGGAGAAAAUUAAAAAAUUAAAAAUUAAAAAAUGAAAAACUAAUAAACGAAAAAAAAACUAGAUCUUACUCGGUGUUAAAAAAAACGAAUCUGCAAGCAAAAAAAUUCAAAAUUUAAUAUGGAGAAGUAGGCCGAGAUCUGGAGGCUAGGGCUUGGACGACGGCGGCGGCGUAUCUGUGCAGACGGAGGCAGCGGCGUGGAGCAGCGUCAGUGCCUAGAUGUGAGGGCGGAGUUGGUGGUUUAGGGAUCUAGGGCUUUUGGACGGCGGCUUUGUAGUGAUAUGGUUGCAGGUUUUUCGCCGGCAGAGGGUGAGGCAGAGGGAGAGAGAAGAGGAUGGAGAGCAUCAGCGACCGUGGCUUCUCGCCGGCAGCGGCGCAUGUGGAAGAAAGAGGAGAGUUUGGACUGGGAGAAGAAACGAGACAGAAGAGAGAGAGGCGGCUCUGAAGAGAAGAUGAGUAUUUGAGUAGUAUUUUAGGGUUUAAAAGUGUAGAUGGGUUGUAUUUAAUAUAUUUUAUUUUAUUUUAAUUUGUUGGGUUGUAUUUAUUUAAUUGGACUGAAUUUAUUGUACUUAUUUAAUUGGGCUGUAUUUAUUUAAUUGUUCUAUUAUUAAUUCUCCUUUCAGAAAAUAAAUCAUUAUUUAUAAUAUAUAUACAUAUAUACGAAUUAAAUAUUUUUACUUAAUAGUACUCCCUCCGUCCACGAAAUGAGUACCCAUAUUUCCUUUUUCGUCCGUCCACGAAAUGAGUACCCAUUUCCCUUUUUGGCAAGUGUACCCCACACAUCUCUUU